UGGUUCUGGCAUCGAUGAAGAACGCAGCGAAAUGCGAUAAGUAGUGUGAAUUGCAGAAUUCAGUGAAUCAUCGAAUCUUUGAACGCACAUUGCGCCCUUUGGUAUUCCAUGGGGCAUGCCUGUUCGAGCGUCAUUUUGUACUCUCAAGCCUUGCUUGGUGUUGGGUGCUUGUCUAAACCACGUAGACUCGCCUUAAAGAAAUUGGCAGCUAGUAUACCAGUCUGGACGCAGCACAAAUUGCGGCUCAGGCAAGUACGCUGGCAACCACUAAGCCCAUGUUUAUCGCUUGACCUCGGAUCAGGUAGGGAUACCCGCUGA
Molecule: unclassified non-coding RNA, 318 nt
Filed under: uncultured fungus
Lineage: Eukaryota; Fungi
Description: partial contains 5.8S ribosomal RNA and internal transcribed spacer 2
Rfam family: 5.8S ribosomal RNA (bases 1-133)
Source: RNAcentral